AGGAGUUAGAACAUAGAGUGACCCAGGAAGCUCUCACCCAGCAGCAGCUGCAUUUUAUGAAAACAUCCAGGAUGGAGAAGCUCUUGGAAGAUGUGGGGCAAAAAGAACAGCAACUGCAGCUCCUUAGCAAAGAGGCUGAGAGGGCUUCUAAGCUGGGCCAACUGCAGCAGAAAAAAAUGAAGAGGGACCUCCACCAGAUGAGAAGCCGGCUUGCCCAGGAGCGCAGUGUGAAGCUGGAUGCUCUCCAGCGUGCAGAGGAGCUGCAGGGUCAGCUUCACGAUGCCCAGCGGUCAGCUGUCCCCAUGGGCUCGUCAGGCGAUACUCCCAGCAACGCUUUUUAAAGACUAAUCUCAAAGGCAGUAAAAUAACAAGAUGGAUUCAAAGGCCACAGACUGUACCUAUUAAACACAAAAAAAGAACUGACGAUGUUUUCCUACCCAAUAUGGCAGAAAAUGUUCAACUGACAGCUUUUCAGGUUCAAACAGCUCCAUCCAGAUUCCCAUUUAGAGCUGACUGGUGAUGAUAUCUUCUUUUUCCAACCUUUAUUUCUAUGAGUAUUUGAAUGAAUAAAAAUGACUCCAAAUGCCA
Homo sapiens (human) is the source of this 588-nucleotide long non-coding RNA. Lineage: Eukaryota; Metazoa; Chordata; Mammalia; Primates; Hominidae. The record is from Ensembl.